GUUCCUGAGACGGGGAUGCUCAUGUGGGAGGCGUGAGGAGCUCUUGGGAACAACAUCCGUGGGGUGAAGGAAGCAGACUGUGCUAUCGAUAUGCAUGCAGUAUGACUCUCUCUGGUGGUCCUGGGCAGUUCCUCAUCAGCCCUGUGGUCACGAGGGGAGACCAGGCACGUGGGAGGCUAAGACUGAGGCUGGGUGAUGGCUACAAAUUAGAGGCCAGUCUGGUCUGCAUAGGAAACCCCAGGCUAAGAAGUCCCAGGUUAGGAAGAGCUACAUAGGGAGAUAAUGUCUCAGAAAACCAAAAAUAAGAUAAAUAAAUAAAUAAAUAAAUGGAAGAUGG
Molecule: long non-coding RNA, 337 nt
Organism: Peromyscus eremicus (cactus mouse)
Lineage: Eukaryota; Metazoa; Chordata; Mammalia; Rodentia; Cricetidae
Exons: 2
Source: RefSeq, a predicted model, not a curated record